GUGGUAUCCUGUCUGAAUAUGGGGGGACCAUCCUCCAAGGCUAAAUACUCCUGACUGACCGAUAGUGAACCAGUACCGUGAGGGAAAGGCGAAAAGAACCCCGGCGAGGGGAGUGAAAAAGAACCUGAAACCGUGUACGUACAAGCAGUGGGAGCCUCUUUAUGGGGUGACUGCGUACCUUUUGUAUAAUGGGUCAGCGACUUAUAUUCUGUAGCAAGGUUAACCGAAUAGGGGAGCCGAAGGGAAACCGAGUCUUAACUGGGCGUUAAGUUGCAGGGUAUAGACCCGAAACCCGGUGAUCUAGCCAUGGGCAGGUUGAAGGUUGGGUAACACUAACUGGAGGACCGAACCGACUAAUGUUGAAAAAUUAGCGGAUGACUUGUGGCUGGGGGUGAAAGGCCAAUCAAACCGGGAGAUAGCUGGUUCUCCCCGAAAGCUAUUUAGGUAGCGCCUCGUGAAUUCAUCUCCGGGGGUAGAGCACUGUUUCGGCAAGGGGGUCAUCCCGACUUACCAACCCGAUGCAAACUGCGAAUACCGGAGAAUGUUAUCACGGGAGACACACGGCGGGUGCUAACGUCCGUCGUGAAGAGGGAAACAACCCAGACCGCCAGCUAAGGUCCCAAAGUCAUGGUUAAGUGGGAAACGAUGUGGGAAGGCCCAGACAGCCAGGAUGUUGGCUUAGAAGCAGCCAUCAUUUAAAGAAAGCGUAAUAGCUCACUGGUCGAGUCGGCCUGCGCGGAAGAUGUAACGGGGCUAAACCAUGCACCGAAGCUGCGGCAGCGACGCUUAUGCGUUGUUGGGUAGGGGAGCGUUCUGUAAGCCUGUGAAGGUGUGCUGUGAGGCAUGCUGGAGGUAUCAGAAGUGCGAAUGCUGACAUAAGUAACGAUAAAGCGGGUGAAAAGCCCGCUCGCCGGAAGACCAAGGGUUCCUGUCCAACGUUAAUCGGGGCAGGGUGAGUCGACCCCUAAGGCGAGGCCGAAAGGCGUAGUCGAUGGGAAACAGGUUAAUAUUCCUGUACUUGGUGUUACUGCGAAGGGGGGACGGAGAAGGCUAUGUUGGCCGGGCGACGGUUGUCCCGGUUUAAGCGUGUAGGCUGGUUUUCCAGGCAAAUCCGGAAAAUCAAGGCUGAGGCGUGAUGACGAGGCACUACGGUGCUGAAGCAACAAAUGCCCUGCUUCCAGGAAAAGCCUCUAAGCAUCAGGUAACAUCAAAUCGUACCCCAAACCGACACAGGUGGUCAGGUAGAGAAUACCAAGGCGCUUGAGAGAACUCGGGUGAAGGAACUAGGCAAAAUGGUGCCGUAACUUCGGGAGAAGGCACGCUGAUAUGUAGGUGAAGUCCCUCGCGGAUGGAGCUGAAAUCAGUCGAAGAUACCAGCUGGCUGCAACUGUUUAUUAAAAACACAGCACUGUGCAAACACGAAAGUGGACGUAUACGGUGUGACGCCUGCCCGGUGCCGGAAGGUUAAUUGAUGGGGUUAGCGGUAACGCGAAGCUCUUGAUCGAAGCCCCGGUAAACGGCGGCCGUAACUAUAACGGUCCUAAGGUAGCGAAAUUCCUUGUCGGGUAAGUUCCGACCUGCACGAAUGGCGUAAUGAUGGCCAGGCUGUCUCCACCCGAGACUCAGUGAAAUUGAACUCGCUGUGAAGAUGCAGUGUACCCGCGGCAAGACGGAAAGACCCCGUGAACCUUUACUAUAGCUUGACACUGAACAUUGAGCCUUGAUGUGUAGGAUAGGUGGGAGGCUUUGAAGUGUGGACGCCAGUCUGCAUGGAGCCGACCUUGAAAUACCACCCUUUAAUGUUUGAUGUUCUAACGUUGACCCGUAAUCCGGGUUGCGGACAGUGUCUGGUGGGUAGUUUGACUGGGGCGGUCUCCUCCUAAAGAGUAACGGAGGAGCACGAAGGUUGGCUAAUCCUGGUCGGACAUCAGGAGGUUAGUGCAAUGGCAUAAGCCAGCUUGACUGCGAGCGUGACGGCGCGAGCAGGUGCGAAAGCAGGUCAUAGUGAUCCGGUGGUUCUGAAUGGAAGGGCCAUCGCUCAACGGAUAAAAGGUACUCCGGGGAUAACAGGCUGAUACCGCCCAAGAGUUCAUAUCGACGGCGGUGUUUGGCACCUCGAUGUCGGCUCAUCACAUCCUGGGGCUGAAGUAGGUCCCAAGGGUAUGGCUGUUCGCCAUUUAAAGUGGUACGCGAGCUGGGUUUAGAACGUCGUGAGACAGUUCGGUCCCUAUCUGCCGUGGGCGCUGGAGAACUGAGGGGGGCUGCUCCUAGUACGAGAGGACCGGAGUGGACGCAUCACUGGUGUUCGGGUUGUCAUGCCAAUGGCACUGCCCGGUAGCUAAAUGCGGAAGAGAUAAGUGCUGAAAGCAUCUAAGCACGAAACUUGCCCCGAGAUGAGUUCUCCCUGACUCCUUGAGAGUCCUGAAGGAACGUUGAAGACGACGACGUUGAUAGGCCGGGUGUGUAAGCGCAGCGAUGCGUUGAGCUAACCGGUACUAAUGAACCGUGAGGCUUAACCUU
This 2520-nucleotide ribosomal RNA is filed under the name Escherichia coli. RNAcentral's name for it is "bacterial LSU rRNA". It matches the Rfam family "Bacterial large subunit ribosomal RNA", at positions 426 to 2925 of the family's 2925-position model. Lineage: Bacteria; Pseudomonadati; Pseudomonadota; Gammaproteobacteria; Enterobacterales; Enterobacteriaceae. The record is from RNAcentral.